RNAcentral lists this ribosomal RNA (269 nucleotides) under uncultured bacterium. RNAcentral's name for it is "partial 16S ribosomal RNA". It matches the Rfam family "Bacterial small subunit ribosomal RNA", at positions 337 to 598 of the family's 1533-position model. The record is from RNAcentral.
GCCUACGGGGGGCAGCAGUAGGGAAUUUUCGUCAAUGGGCGCAAGCCUGAACGAGCGAUGCCGCGUGAGUGAAGGAGGCCUUCGGGUCGUAAAGCUCUGUUGCGGGGGAAAAAAGGCAGCAUCAGGAAAUGGGUGCUGACUGAUGGUGCCCCGCCAGAAAGUCACGGCUAACUACGUGCCCGCAGCCGCGGUAAUACGUAGGUGGCGAGCGUUAUCCGGAAUGAUUGGGCGUAAAGGGUGCGCAGGCGGGCCUGCAAUUCUGAAGUGAA